Long non-coding RNA from Dinoponera quadriceps, 809 nucleotides. RefSeq lists it as uncharacterized. The transcript has 4 exons. The record is from RefSeq and is a predicted model, not a curated record. Lineage: Eukaryota; Metazoa; Arthropoda; Insecta; Hymenoptera; Formicidae.
GCUAUAUAAACACCUGAUCUGUCCUAAAUAUAUUCAUAGUGCAGGUUCAUGGACAGAUGUAUCGACUACUCUUGUUUCAUCGUUUAGUCAAACGCUAAUAUACAUAUAUAGAAUUGUUGUCUAUUUUGCAGGCUGACGACAAUUAUAUUUGGUUUAUCAACAUGAAGGAAGAACUCGAGGGUUCGAACGAAAACAUAAAUUUACCAGCACAUACUUUCGGCCCGGCAGUCAACGUGUUAGAUGGAGUUUUGAUUCGAAAGAUCAACGACUUUCUGCUGCGGGCGAUUGAGGUGUUAUAAAUCAUUAUAAUUUGAGAAGUAUUUUCGCUGGCACAAAAAUGUUUGUUCGAUAGAAAAGUAAUUGGAUUUGCAGCAAAAUGAAGUAGUCCGCACGUUCGAAAACAUCAGCACGUAAGCCAGUCAAUCGAUCGAAAGGGUUCAAUAUGUCGUCCAAGGAUCCUGUGCAGAUUUAUUGUCGUCUACGGCUAAUGCAGUCGUCAGAUGUGUCAUGCAUGAAGCCUACAUCCAGCACAACAGUAGUCAGAACGCCGCUAGAAUCAGCAACUAAUUUUAGGACCACGAACAAGGAGAUACGAACAACAUUCAGUCAUAUAUUCAUGCCUGAUGUAACACAAAAGGAAAUAUUCAAGACGGUUGCUCUUCCUCUUGUUGAAAAUCUUGUUCAGGGAAGGAACGGUCUUUUAUUCACAUAUGGUAUAACUGGCAGUGGAAACUGCAUGAUAACGCUCGGCCUCAUGUCGCAAAAGUCGUAAAAAAUUAUUUGGAAACGCUCAAGUGGGAUAUUUUACU